Transfer RNA from Candidatus Magnetomorum sp. HK-1, 55 nucleotides. It matches the Rfam family "tRNA", at positions 19 to 71 of the family's 71-position model. From Rfam's summary of the family: Transfer RNA (tRNA) molecules are approximately 80 nucleotides in length. NCBI's taxonomy places the organism in Bacteria, Pseudomonadati, Thermodesulfobacteriota, Desulfobacteria, Desulfobacterales, Candidatus Magnetomoraceae. The record is from Rfam.
UUAGAGCGCCGGCCUGUCACGCCGGAGGUCGCGAGUUCGAGUCUCGUCGUCCCCG